AUUGAACGCUGGCGGCAGGCCUAACACAUGCAAGUCGAGCGGAUGAAGGGAGCUUGCUCCUGGAUUCAGCGGCGGACGGGUGAGUAAUGCCUAGGAAUCUGCCUGGUAUUGGGGGAUAACGUCCGGAAACGGGCGCUAAUACCGCAUACGUCCUGAGGGAGAAAGUGGGGGAUCUUCGGACCUCACGCUAUCAGAUGAGCCUAGGUCGGAUUAGCUAGUUGGUGGGGUAAAGGCCUACCAAGGCGACGAUCCGUAACUGGUCUGAGAGGAUGAUCAGUCACACUGGAACUGAGACACGGUCCAGACUCCUACGGGAGGCAGCAGUGGGGAAUAUUGGACAAUGGGCGAAAGCCUGAUACAGCAAAGCCGCGUGUGUGAAGAAGGUCUUCGGAUUGUAAAGCACUUUAAGUGGGGAGGAAGGGCAGUACGUUAAUACCUGGCUGUGUUGACGGUACCAACAGAAUAAGCACCGGCUAACUUCGUG
This 484-nucleotide ribosomal RNA is filed under the name uncultured bacterium. RNAcentral's name for it is "partial 16S ribosomal RNA". It matches the Rfam family "Bacterial small subunit ribosomal RNA", at positions 30 to 507 of the family's 1533-position model. The record is from RNAcentral.